RNAcentral lists this ribosomal RNA (509 nucleotides) under uncultured Glomus. RNAcentral describes it as "SSU rRNA". It matches the Rfam family "Eukaryotic small subunit ribosomal RNA", at positions 569 to 1081 of the family's 1831-position model. Lineage: Eukaryota; Fungi; Glomeromycota; Glomeromycetes; Glomerales; Glomeraceae. The record is from RNAcentral.
AGCAGCCGCGGUAAUUCCAGCUCCAAUAGCGUAUAUUAAAGUUGUUGCAGUUAAAAAGCUCGUAGUUGAAUUUCGGGAUCAAGGAAUCGGUCAUGCCUCGGUAUGUACUGGUUUUAUUGGUUCUCACCUUCUAAAGAACCAUAAUGUCAUUCAUUUGAUGUUAUGGGGAAUUAGGACUGUUACCUUGAAAAAAUUAGAGUGUUUAAAGCAGGCUUACGCUUGAAUACAUUAGCAUGGAAUAAUGAAAUAGGACAUCAGAUUCUAUUUUGUUGGUUUCUAGGAUCGAUGUAAUGAUUAAUAGGGAUAGUUGGGGGCAUUAGUAUUCAAUUGUCAGAGGUGAAAUUCUUGGAUUUAUUGAAGACUAACUACUGCGAAAGCAUUUGCCAAGGAUGUUUUCAUUAAUCAAGAACGAAAGUUAGGGGAUCGAAGACGAUCAGAUACCGUCGUAGUCUUAACCAUAAACUAUGCCGACUAGGGAUCGGAUGAUGUAAUUUUAUAAUGACUCAUUC